UUAGGAGGAAAAGGCAACAUGUGAGUCACCCCAGUGCUGUGUGUGAUGACUAAAUCAAGCCUACAACGAACAGUAUGUUGCUAAUUAACUUAAGAUCCCCAGGCUGACAUGGAAAAAAACCCACAUAAUUAGAGUUGAUAUGCUGAGCUCUGUCUGUCUGUGGGACUCACUGCCUUUAGCUUUAGCUAUAGCUUUGCCUCUCACUAAUUCAAGUGAGUCCAUCCUAUUCACACAGGCUCCUCUCGCCGUGUAUCAUAUAAGGACUAGUAACAAGCGACUUCAUUCAGGUCUCAUCUUCUGCAACAGCUGUACAGUCACUCUUGCUCUUUUGGGUCGAAGAAGAGGUGGGUCUUACCAGAAAGGAGGGGGAAACUCUUCAGAUUGCAGCUUGCUUGUUAUCCCGAGUGCUUGACUAGUUACAACCUUAUCCUGAACAGCAACUGGCUGGGCAGCAGUGAGCAGUAAUUACGAAUGUUAGAGGACUCCAGAGGGCAGGUAGGAGCCCUGCAGAAGCACUGGAACAAAUGGCCGAUAGAAGAAAAACCUGGAAUUGGAGGACCAGAACCAUGCUUUCCAAAAUGCCAUUGAUUACCAUGAGGAAAGAUUACAUGAAGUGCUGGGACAAGUGCAUACUAUCUCUCUGAAUAUACGUCAUUUCAAUACAGCAAUAAUUUCAAGGCAAGGGUAUAAAUACUAUCUAUAUGACCAGGAAUCUGUUUAUAUUUUAACAUAAUUGUGCUUUUCCUUUCGUAUAUCUUCCUCUACCUUUUUUGCAUGAAAUAUACGUUUUAAGCACAUUUAUCCAUUUAUAAGCAGAUGCUCUUUACUUCACACUAGCUGGUUCUCACCAAGAAGCAAGUGGUAGGGGGUUAUUUAUUAAACUUGUGUUUUUUACUAUAAAAUCCGAAUUUUUAGUGGAAAAAAACCCCACACAUUUUUCGGUAUUUAUUAUAGCCUGAGGAUGGAAAAAGUCAGAAUCCAAAAAUCCGGCAUCUCGGAACUGCCAAGGUUGCAGGGAGAAGUCCCAAAUAUAUCUUGAUCUGCGCUUGGUUUUGUGCAAUAAUCCGAAAAUUGUUAGAUUAUAUUAGAUUAUAAAAUUUGUAUGAUUAGUUUUAUCACGUUUUUUUUUUUUUUUCAGAUUUUUUCCCACACAGGAAUUUUCGGUAAAAUGUAUUGAUAAAUAAGAGAAAAAAUUUGUUCAGAUUUGUUCGGAGUCGUUUUCAGAAAAUAAUUUGGACUUAUGGAUAAAUGGGCCUCGUACUCUAGCUCAUGUUUCACAUAUGACUGAUCUGAUUGGUUGACCCAUAGCUUUUCAUUUUAUAAUAUGCCCAUCCAUUAAACAUUAGACAUAGCUAUGAUAGCAGCAAUGCUCAUAGAGACAUAUUAAUUAGGACCAUAUUUAUCAAACCGUGAAAUUGGAGCUUGCCCCAGUUGGCCGGAGUAAAAAGCCUCUAUUAAUUUCUAAGGGAUUUUUAAAACUGUAUCUAUAACUCCUUCACCCACUUUGCAGGGUCUUACACCUUUUCUGUAGAAAUGUAAAAUACCUUUAACAGGAUACUUGACAGAUCCUGCAAAUCCUUUUGCCUAGAGCUACGUGGUACAGUACAUUCCAUCUCACCACCUAUGUACAGCUUGUCUGACAAGGAAAUGAGAGUAUAAUGGGCAAAAGACUAAUAUGAAAGCUGUUAGAUCAUUGUUAUUGCCACUGUUAUAUUUGAUUAAAUAAGCAAUUUAUUA
Long non-coding RNA from Xenopus laevis (African clawed frog), 1737 nucleotides. RefSeq lists it as uncharacterized. The record is from RefSeq and is a predicted model, not a curated record. NCBI's taxonomy places the organism in Eukaryota, Metazoa, Chordata, Amphibia, Anura, Pipidae. The transcript is spliced from 3 exons.